This 548-nucleotide ribosomal RNA is filed under the name uncultured beta proteobacterium. RNAcentral describes it as "bacterial SSU rRNA". It matches the Rfam family "Bacterial small subunit ribosomal RNA", at positions 355 to 896 of the family's 1533-position model. The record is from RNAcentral. Lineage: Bacteria; Pseudomonadati; Pseudomonadota; Betaproteobacteria.
UGGGGAAUUUUGGACAAUGGGCGCAAGCCUGAUCCAGCAAUGCCGCGUGCAGGAUGAAGGCCUUCGGGUUGUAAACUGCUUUUGUACGGAACGAAAAGGUCUGCCCUAAUACGGUGGGCCCAUGACGGUACCGUAAGAAUAAGCACCGGCUAACUACGUGCCAGCAGCCGCGGUAAUACGUAGGGUGCGAGCGUUAAUCGGAAUUACUGGGCGUAAAGCGUGCGCAGGCGGUUAUAUAAGACAGAUGUGAAAUCCCCGGGCUCAACCUGGGACCUGCAUUUGUGACUGUAUAGCUAGAGUACGGUAGAGGGGGAUGGAAUUCCGCGUGUAGCAGUGAAAUGCGUAGAUAUGCGGAGGAACACCGAUGGCGAAGGCAAUCCCCUGGACCUGUACUGACGCUCAUGCACGAAAGCGUGGGGAGCAAACAGGAUUAGAUACCCUGGUAGUCCACGCCCUAAACGAUGUCAACUGGUUGUUGGGUCUUCACUGACUCAGUAACGAAGCUAACGCGUGAAGUUGACCGCCUGGGGAGUACGGCCGCAAGGUUG